RNAcentral lists this ribosomal RNA (541 nucleotides) under Micrococcus luteus. RNAcentral's name for it is "bacterial SSU rRNA". It matches the Rfam family "Bacterial small subunit ribosomal RNA", at positions 366 to 917 of the family's 1533-position model. Lineage: Bacteria; Bacillati; Actinomycetota; Actinomycetes; Micrococcales; Micrococcaceae. The record is from RNAcentral.
UCAUUAAGGGGCGAAGCCUGAUGCAGCGACGCCGCGUGAGGGAUGACGGCCUUCGGGUUGUAAACCUCUUUCAGUAGGGAAGAAGCGAAAGUGACGGUACCUGCAGAAGAAGCACCGGCUAACUACGUGCCAGCAGCCGCGGUAAUACGUAGGGUGCGAGCGUUAUCCGGAAUUAUUGGGCGUAAAGAGCUCGUAGGCGGUUUGUCGCGUCUGUCGUGAAAGUCCGGGGCUUAACCCCGGAUCUGCGGUGGGUACGGGCAGACUAGAGUGCAGUAGGGGAGACUGGAAUUCCUGGUGUAGCGGUGGAAUGCGCAGAUAUCAGGAGGAACACCGAUGGCGAAGGCAGGUCUCUGGGCUGUAACUGACGCUGAGGAGCGAAAGCAUGGGGAGCGAACAGGAUUAGAUACCCUGGUAGUCCAUGCCGUAAACGUUGGGCACUAGGUGUGGGGACCAUUCCACGGUUUCCGCGCCGCAGCUAACGCAUUAAGUGCCCCGCCUGGGGAGUACGGCCGCAAGGCUAAAACUCAAAGGAAUUGACGGA